RNAcentral lists this ribosomal RNA (1272 nucleotides) under Triticum aestivum (bread wheat). RNAcentral's name for it is "partial small subunit ribosomal RNA". Lineage: Eukaryota; Viridiplantae; Streptophyta; Magnoliopsida; Poales; Poaceae. The record is from RNAcentral.
AUGGCCGACAGGGCGGCGGUGGCGGUGUCGCUCCCGGAGGACGCCAUCCGCGAGAUCCUAGUCCGCGUGGAAAGCGAGGCUGCUCUCUUCCGCUGCGCCGUGACGUGCAAGCGCUGGAGCCGCCUCGUAGCCGACCCUUCCUUUCUUCGUCGUCGCUGGCCGGAUGAUCAAUGGGUGGGACGCUUCCUUGCCGGGUUCUUCGCCCCGAAACGGCUCGACCGUACGGACCCCAUGUUCCGGACAGGGGAGCCCAUGUUUGCCACGUUUUUCGUCCCGACGCCCCGGUCCGUGUUCGGCCCCUGCCGGCGCUCCCUCGCCUCCUUUUUCCCCGACGUCGACGCCCACAUCCUCGACCACGCGGUGCCACUCACCGCGCGUCGUGGCCUCCUCCUCGUGUGCCUGGCCUCCCGCCGGCAGUACAACAUGUCGGUCAUACAUCUGGCCGUGUGCAAUUUGCUUGCUGGCGUGUGCAACGUGCUUCCCCUGCUAAGCAGCGAUUUGGAGUUUGAUAAAAGCGGCUACGCCAUCCUAACUAGCGCAGACUGUUCCUCGAGCACAACCCAACAGUGUUCGCAACCGGGCUGCUCGACCUUCUUCAAAGUGCUAAUCACUGGCCGGAGGUAUCUAGGUUCGCACAACCUCUACAUGUUCUCGUCCAGCGAGGCCAGGUGGAGCAAGCCUACACAAUUAACUUUGGACACUCCCGGGGUGAUCCACGACUGUCUACAUCCGGAUGGUGCCGUCUCUCGUGGCAAGGUGCAUUGGAGCGUCGGGGACUGGUCAUGCCGCUGCUCUCUUGACAUGGACAUGGAGACGUAUCACAUCUCUCAGGCUAGGAUCAUGGCCUGGACAAUUUACGUGGAAACCAGCGACGAGCCACAACUCGGGGUCACCACGAAUGGGACGCCCUUGGUCUUAACUCUGUCAAGACCAGGCCUCAAGCUAAAGAUCUCAACGUGGCAAGAUGACAAUAAGAGCAAGGAUGGUGCUAUUGCCAAGGCCGGGCGACUCGCGACUCGCAUUGUCGAGUUGAAACCACCUAGGCAGAUUAAAAGAAGUCCAAAUCAAAUACACUUGAGAUUGUUAGGAGAGAAGAGUGGCACGAUGCUACUGAUGGAUAGUCAGAGACAGAUUUACAUCGCUGACAUUGAGACAGGAGUGAUGGAGGAGUUUGAGCUGCCGGAUGGUUUUGAUGGGCUUAACCGUUCGAAGGUCGUCUUGUUGGAGAUGGACUGGUCGGCACUAUUUGUUUCUCGGCUUGGGAAGUGGUAG